AUUGAACGCUGGCGGCAUGCCUUACACAUGCAAGUCGAACGGCAGCACGGGGGCAACCCUGGUGGCGAGUGGCGAACGGGUGAGUAAUACAUCGGAACGUGCCCUGAAGUGGGGGAUAACGUAGCGAAAGUUACGCUAAUACCGCAUAUUCUGUGAGCAGGAAAGCAGGGGAUCGCAAGACCUUGCGCUUUAGGAGCGGCCGAUGUCGGAUUAGCUAGUUGGUGAGGUAAAGGCUCACCAAGGCGACGAUCCGUAGCGGGUCUGAGAGGAUGAUCCGCCACACUGGGACUGAGACACGGCCCAGACUCCUACGGGAGGCAGCAGUGGGGAAUUUUGGACAAUGGGCGAAAGCCUGAUCCAGCCAUGCCGCGUGAGUGAAGAAGGCCUUCGGGUUGUAAAGCUCUUUCGGCGGGGAAGAAAUCGCAUUCUCUAAUACAGAGUGUGGACGACGGUACCCGAAUAAGAAGCACCGGCUAACUACGUGCCAGCAGCCGCGGUAAUACGUAGGGUGCGAGCGUUAAUCGGAAUUACUGGGCGUAAAGCGUGCGCAGGCGGUUUUGUAAGUCAGAUGUGAAAUCCCCGGGCUCAACCUGGGAACUGCAUUUGAGACUGCAAAGCUAGAGUGUGGCAGAGGGGGGUGGAAUUCCACGUGUAGCAGUGAAAUGCGUAGAGAUGUGGAGGAACACCGAUGGCGAAGGCAGCCCCCUGGGCCAAUACUGACGCUCAUGCACGAAAGCGUGGGGAGCAAACAGGAUUAGAUACCCUGGUAGUCCACGCCCUAAACGAUGUCAACUAGGUGUUGGAAGGGUUAAACCUUUUAGUGCCGUAGCUAACGCGUGAAGUUGACCGCCUGGGGAGUACGGCCGCAAGGCUAAAACUCAAAGGAAUUGACGGGGACCCGCACAAGCGGUGGAUGAUGUGGAUUAAUUCGAUGCAACGCGAAAAACCUUACCUACCCUUGACAUGUCAGGAAUCCCGGAGAGAUUUGGGAGUGCUCGAAAGAGAGCCUGAACACAGGUGCUGCAUGGCUGUCGUCAGCUCGUGUCGUGAGAUG
RNAcentral lists this ribosomal RNA (1054 nucleotides) under uncultured bacterium. RNAcentral's name for it is "bacterial SSU rRNA". It matches the Rfam family "Bacterial small subunit ribosomal RNA", at positions 28 to 1074 of the family's 1533-position model. The record is from RNAcentral.